UACCACUCCUGUCCUACAAUAAACGGCUCCUACUCCUGCUGUAUCAAUCUACACAAGUUGUUCGUUACCCCCCCGGUUAUUUUGCUGCAGCCGGACUGCAACAAAUAACUGAAACAGGAAUUUCAGAAAGAAGCUCUAAAGACGUCCUGGAGAGCUCAGCACCUUGGAACAUCAUCGUCUGGAUUGCAAGUUACACCGUGAAGUACUUAAAGCAUCCCAUCAGGGAAGAGGGGACUGCCAUUAAUCAAGCAGAGGCACUAGUGGAAGAGCUUGACUUUGCCCUGAACCAGUGAAGACAGAGGUCAUACACAGUCACCAAAGUAAAAGGGGCGACAUGUUUUUGUCCUGAUCCAACAGGACACAGAAACAAGCUUCUCACUGUAGACACCGAGGGAGGACGGUUCACUCGAAAAACAUUUGGCACAAAGCUGUCAGAGGCACUAUCUGAAAUAGGGUCAGAAAUGUGGGGAAAGGAAGGCCAUUGUCUUUCAAGGUCACUAUCACUGCCAAAGGAGGGUGUCCUGAUGUUGUGUGCCUACAUCAUAAAGCAUUCACAGCGGUACCCAGUCCACUGAUCACAGGGUCAUGGUUCAUUAGGGGUAAAGAAAGAUGGACACACACUCACUGAGCUAUAGGGGGCAUUCGCUUCUGGUUUACUUACUCCUCUUGUUUGUCACAUUUGUAUACAGUAGGAAAUAGGACAUAAUGAUUGUAUGGUACUUGGCUUUUCUGGCUUCACCAGACACCAAAAUACUGCACCAAGUGAGGUACCAUGACCAACUGUCUCUAUUUGCUUAGGAUCACCCCAUUUUAGUACAGUGCAGUGUCCCCAGGAAGAUUUCAGUUCCCAGUAAACCAAGAUAUUUGGUCACCCCAGGUCUCACUUGUAUCCAGCUGAUUUUUUCUCUACUCCUGUUACUUGGGACAAGAGUGAAAAAAGAAAAAAGUGGGCUUAAACUUAAGAGCCAUUUUGUAACAUGUAUAUAAGGUCACAUCUUUGGGAGUGAGAAAUGCUAGAAGGUAUGCAAGAUCGUACUGUUAGGAAGAGAAAAAAAAAGUUUUUGAUGUCACUUCUAGUUCUUUGAUUCCCUGGUUUUAUGACACUACUCCUAUUAUCCUGAGAAAGUUAGGAGAGCCAUGAGUAAAAUAAUGUUUAUUGCUAUUUAUCAAAAGAUUAUCAUGUACUGGGCAUGGUGUUAACACUUUCAUUUUAUUCUCAUGACAGCUUUAGGAAAUAGAUAUUAUUAGAGAUAAUUUCAAGGUAAGGAAACAAGCCUAAGAACUUAUGUCAUGUCCAG
Molecule: long non-coding RNA, 1298 nt
Filed under: Marmota monax (woodchuck)
Lineage: Eukaryota; Metazoa; Chordata; Mammalia; Rodentia; Sciuridae
Source: RNAcentral